This 484-nucleotide ribosomal RNA is filed under the name uncultured bacterium. RNAcentral's name for it is "partial 16S ribosomal RNA". It matches the Rfam family "Bacterial small subunit ribosomal RNA", at positions 30 to 507 of the family's 1533-position model. The record is from RNAcentral.
AUUGAACGCUGGCGGCAGGCCUAUCACAUGCAAGUCGAGCGGAAGAAGGGAGCUUGCUCCUGGAUUCAGCGGCGGACGGGUGAGUAAUGCCUAGGCACCUGCCUGGUGGUGGAGGAUAAGGUCCGGACAAGGGCGCUCAUACCGCAUACGUCCUGAGGGAGCAAGUGGGUCAUAUUCGGACCUCACGCUAUCAGCUGCGCCUAGGUCGGAGUGACUAGUUGGUGGGGUAAUGGCCUACCAAGGCGACGAUCAGUAACUGGUCUGAGAGGCUGAUCAGGCACACAGGAACCUAGACACAGUCCAGACUCCUACGGGAGGCAGCAGUGGGGAAUAUAGCACAAUGGGGGAAAGCCUAAUCCAGCCAUCCCGCGUCAGUGACGAAGGGCCUCAGAUUUUACAGCACUCUAAGUUGGGGGGAAGGGCAGUAAGAUAAUACCUUGCUGUUCUGACGUUACCAACAAAAUAAGCACCGGCUACCUUCGUG